AAUUCCUUGUCGGGUAAGUUCCGACCUGCACGAAUGGCAUAAUGAUGGCGGCGCUGUCUCCACCAGAGACUCAGUGAAAUCGAAAUCGCGGUGAAGAUGCCGUGUACCCGCGGCUAGACGGAAAGACCCCGUGAACCUUUACUGCAGCUUUGCACUGAACUUUGAUCUUACUUGUGUAGGAUAGGUGGGAGGCUUUGAAGCUCGGACGCCAGUCUGAGUGGAGCCAUCCUUGAAAUACCACCCUGGUAAUAUUGAGGUUCUAACCCAGGUCCGUAAUCCGGAUCGGGGACAGUGUAUGGUGGGUAGUUUGACUGGGGCGGUCUCCUCCUAAAGAGUAACGGAGGAGUACGAAGGUGCGCUCAGCGUGGUCGGAAAUCACGCGUAGAGUAUAAAGGCAAAAGCGCGCUUAACUGCGAGACCGACAAGUCGAGC
This 432-nucleotide ribosomal RNA is filed under the name uncultured bacterium. RNAcentral's name for it is "bacterial LSU rRNA". It matches the Rfam family "Bacterial large subunit ribosomal RNA", at positions 1963 to 2394 of the family's 2925-position model. The record is from RNAcentral.